RNAcentral lists this ribosomal RNA (471 nucleotides) under Cratenemertea sp. 25DS. RNAcentral describes it as "partial 16S ribosomal RNA". It matches the Rfam family "Bacterial large subunit ribosomal RNA", at positions 1817 to 2597 of the family's 2925-position model. The record is from RNAcentral. Lineage: Eukaryota; Metazoa; Nemertea; Enopla; Monostilifera.
AGUUUCUUGAAUUGUAAUAAGAAAUGAAGCCUGCUCAGUGCUUUUUAACAGCCGCGGUAAUUUGACCGUGCAAAGGUAGCAUAAUCAUUUGCCUCAUAAUUGGGGGCUAGUAUGAAUGGAAUUACGAAAAACUAACUGUCUUUAGUAAGUCUUAGAAUUUGCUUUUACUGUGAAGAAGCAGUAAUUUAUUAAUGGGACAAGAAGACCCUUUUGAGCUUUAUUUUUCUUUAUGUUAGUCAUUAAGUGAAAAAUUUGGUUGGGGUGACCAAGGAAAAAUUUAUCUUCCUGAAAUGUUGAAUUUAUGUGUGAUCCAAUUUUUUUGAUUAAAAGACUAAGUUACCAUAGGGAUAACAGCGUAAUUUUUUUUGUGAGUUCUUAUUAAAAAAAAAGAUUGCGACCUCGAUGUUGACUUAUAGGUGCUUUUUGGUGCAGACGUUAAAAUUAGCAGGUCUGUUCGACUUUUAAAACUUU